UACAGAGGUCCCAAGCGUUGUUCGGAUUCACUGGGCGUAAAGGGUGCGUAGGUGGCGGGGCAAGUUUGAUGUGAAAUCUCCGAGCUCAACUCGGAAACGGCAUUAAAUACUGCCUUGCUUGAAGGUCGGAGGGGAGACUGGAAUUCUCGGUGUAGCGGUGAAAUGCGUAGAUAUCGAGAGGAACACCGGUGGCGAAAGCGAGUCUCUGGACGAUUCUUGACACUGAGGCACGAAAGCUAGGGGAGCAAACAGG
This 253-nucleotide ribosomal RNA is filed under the name uncultured bacterium. Its description in RNAcentral is "partial 16S ribosomal RNA". It matches the Rfam family "Bacterial small subunit ribosomal RNA", at positions 524 to 776 of the family's 1533-position model. The record is from RNAcentral.